RNAcentral lists this long non-coding RNA (800 nucleotides) under Olea europaea subsp. europaea. Lineage: Eukaryota; Viridiplantae; Streptophyta; Magnoliopsida; Lamiales; Oleaceae. The record is from RNAcentral.
UUAAAUUCCGUUGCGCAUGUUUAAGUAAAUUCCCAACAACUAUUAUUUUACCAGAGUUUCUAAGCUCAAGAGAAUGCAUCUUCCAAAAAUUAGUCAAAGUCCACGUGUUUCUCCAGAAGGGUUUAUCAGAAGAUGCGCACAGCGCCCUUGUAGUUGUAGCUGUUUUUAUUGUGACAGUUACUUAUCAAGGCAUUCUCAGUCCCCCAGGAGGGCUUUCUUAUAUUGGUGAUGAUAACAAAAACGGAUGAAUACUAAUGCCUGAGAAGAAUUUAUUUUGGUACGUUCUUCUUAAUUCGACAGCCUUUGCUGUCUCUAUUGGAAUGAUUGUUCUGCCUCUCCAGUGGAACUUCAUUACCCCGCUUCUUUAUCUACAGCUAAACCUGAUGAUGGUGAGCUACUUUAUAUCAAUGAUUAGCAUGGCAACUACUGGGGCAGGAGUGGCUUUAUCUCAUGUUGGUUCACUUUUUUUUGCAAUAUAUAAUUAUGAUGUCUAAAUUUUGCAUUGAAGUACAGGGAUCUUUGCCUUGGGCUCUGCAGUGUCUGUUAGUUUGCCUUGGAAGUGAAUACAACAGAGACAAGAUGCAAUAUGAAGUGGUUGCCAGUAAAUGUUCAACAAAAUUUUGCGAGAAAAAUGAAGAUCAAAUUCAAACAUGAUAUUGUCAUAUGAUGUCUAAGAAAGCAACCAAUAAUUUAUGACUCUGUAUUGUUUUGUUUAAUAUUGUCGUCUUAAGAUACUAUAAAUGUCAAUAUUCCAUUCGUCCCAAUUAUAUAGGUCAAGUUUCAUUUUUCAUUUGUUCCAA